Molecule: ribosomal RNA, 468 nt
Filed under: uncultured bacterium
Lineage: Bacteria
Description: partial 16S ribosomal RNA
Rfam family: Bacterial small subunit ribosomal RNA
Source: RNAcentral
GACGAACGCUGGCGGCGUGCUUAACACAUGCAAGUCGAACGGAAAGGCCCUGCUUUUGUGGGGUGCUCGUUUGGCGAACAGGUGAGUAAAACGUGAGUAACCCGCCCCUAACUUUGGGAUAAAUUUAGGAAACUGGGGCUAAUAUCGGAUAGGAUCUCCUGCUGCAUGGUGUGGAUUAGUAAGUGUCGGCGGUUGGGGAUGGACUCGCUGCUUAUCAGCUUGUUGGUGGGGUAGUGGCUUACCAAGUCUUUGACGGGUAGGCGGCAUGAGAGGGUGACCGGGCACAAUGGGACUGAGAGAGGCACCAGAAUGCUACGGGAGGCAGAAGUGGAGAACAUUGCAGAAUGGGCGGAAGCCUGAGACAGCGGCGCCGGGAGCGGGAUGACGUCUUUCGGGUUAAGAACCGCUUUCGCCGUUGCCGAAGAGUGAGUGACGGUACUGGGUAAAGAAGCACCGGCUAACUACGUG